GCCAAGCGCGGUGGCGCAUGCCUGUAAUCCCAGUGGCUCGGGAAGCUGAGGCAGGAGGAUCGCGAGUUCAAAGCCAGCCUCAGCAAAAGUAAGGAGCUAAGCAAUUUAGUGAGACCCUGUCUCUA
RNAcentral lists this small RNA (125 nucleotides) under Marmota monax (woodchuck). The record is from RNAcentral. Lineage: Eukaryota; Metazoa; Chordata; Mammalia; Rodentia; Sciuridae.